This 253-nucleotide ribosomal RNA is filed under the name uncultured bacterium. RNAcentral's name for it is "partial 16S ribosomal RNA". It matches the Rfam family "Bacterial small subunit ribosomal RNA", at positions 524 to 776 of the family's 1533-position model. The record is from RNAcentral.
UACGUAGGGGGCGAGCGUUAUCCGGAUUUACUGGGUGUAAAGGGAGCGCAGGCGGCAGGGCAAGUCAGAUGUGAAAUACCGGGGCUCAACCCCGGGACUGCAUUUGAAACUGUCCGGCUAGAGUGCAGGAGAGGCAGGCGGAAUUCCUAGUGUAGCGGUGAAAUGCGUAGAUAUUAGGAGGAACACCAGUGGCGAAGGCGGCCUGCUGGACUGUAACUGACGCUGAGGCUCGAAAGCGUGGGGAGCAAACAGG